Molecule: ribosomal RNA, 492 nt
Filed under: uncultured bacterium
Lineage: Bacteria
Description: partial 16S ribosomal RNA
Rfam family: Bacterial small subunit ribosomal RNA
Source: RNAcentral
AGUGAACGCUGGCGGUAGGCCUAACACAUGCAAGUCGAACGGCAGCACAGUAAGAGCCUGCUCUUACGGGUGGCGAGUGGCGGACGGGUGAGGAAUACAUCGGAAUCUACUUUUUCGUGGGGGAUAACGAAGGGAAACUUACGCUAAUACCGCAUACGACCUACGGGUGAAAGCAGGGGAUCUUCGGACCUUGCGCGAUUGAAUGGGCCGAUGUCGGAUUAGCUAGUUGGCGGGGUAACGGCCCACCAAGGCGACGAUCCGUAGCUGGUCUGGGAGGAUGAUGAGCCACACUGGAACUGAGACACGGUCCAGACUCCUACGGGAGGCAGCAGUGGGGAAUAUUGGACAAUGGGCGCAAGCCUGAUCCAGCCAUACCGCGUGGGUGAAGAAGGCCUUCGGGUUGUAAAGCCCUUUUGUUGGGAAAGAAAAGCAGCAGGUUAAUACCCCGCUGUUCUGACGGUACCCAAAUAAUAAGCACCGGCUAACUUCGUG